Molecule: non-coding RNA, 87 nt
Organism: Clostridiales bacterium 59_14
Lineage: Bacteria; Bacillati; Bacillota; Clostridia; Eubacteriales
Source: Rfam
AAGAACGUUGGGCAAACCGAUCGAAAGAUCGGGACGCAAAGCCAGGUGUCCAAACGGAGUUAUCCGCAUGAUCGACCGGCUGCAAUC